RNAcentral lists this ribosomal RNA (1071 nucleotides) under uncultured bacterium. Its description in RNAcentral is "bacterial SSU rRNA". It matches the Rfam family "Bacterial small subunit ribosomal RNA", at positions 50 to 1130 of the family's 1533-position model. The record is from RNAcentral.
AACACAUGCAAGUCGAACGGUAACAGGAAAUAGCUUGCUAUUUUGCUGACGAGUGGCGCACGGGUGCGUAACGCGUAUACAAUCUACCUCUUGCUGAGGGAUAGCCCAGAGAAAUUUGGAUUAAUACCUCAUGGUAUUAUAGAUAGGCAUCUAUUUAUAAUUAAAGGUUACGGCGAGAGAUGAGUAUGCGUCCCAUUAGCUAGUUGGCGAGGUAACGGCUCACCAAGGCAACGGUGGGUAGGGGUCCUGAGAGGGAGAUCCCCCACACUGGUACUGAGACACGGACCAGACUCCUACGGGAGGCAGCAGUGAGGAAUAUUGGACAAUGGGCGAGAGCCUGAUCCAGCCAUGCCGCGUGCAGGAAGACUGCCCUAUGGGUUGUAAACUGCUUUUAUACAGGAAGAAUAAGCCUUACGUGUAAGGUGAUGACGGUACUGUAAGAAUAAGGACCGGCUAACUCCGUGCCAGCAGCCGCGGUAAUACGGAGGGUCCGAGCGUUAUCCGGAAUUAUUGGGUUUAAAGGGUCCGUAGGCGGAUGAUUAAGUCAGGGGUGAAAGUUUGCAGCUCAACUGUAAAAUUGCCUUUGAUACUGGUUAUCUUGAGUUGUAUUGAAGUAGGCGGAAUAUGUAGUGUAGCGGUGAAAUGCAUAGAUAUUACAUAGAACACCAAUUGCGAAGGCAGCUUACUAAGUACUAACUGACGCUGAUGGACGAAAGCGUGGGUAGCGAACAGGAUUAGAUACCCUGGUAGUCCACGCCGUAAACGAUGGAUACUAGCUGUUCGGGACCUUGAGUUCUGAGCGGCUAAGCGAAAGCGUUAAGUGAUCCACCUGGGGAGUACGCCGGCAACGGUGAAACUCAAAGGAAUUGACGGGGGUCGCGCAAGCGGUGGAGCAUGUGUUUAAUUCGAUGAUACGCGAGAACUUACCGGGCUAGAUGUGAGAUGAUAAGAGAUGUAUCAGUCAGCAAUGACUGAAACAGGUGCUGCAUGGCUGUCGUCAGCUCUGCCUGAGGUGAUGGGAUAGUUCCCGCACCGAGCGCCACCCCCUGUUAUAUAUGUGUGCACUCACGU